UUUGUUUUGUUGUUAUGAAGGUGUAACUCUCACAAAUAAACGGACAAAAUAAUAUACAAUUUGAAGUUCAAAUACGUUUUGUUGUUGUUAGCUACGAGUUUAUAUUGAACAGGGUGCCUGCUUUUAACGGGCUAUUACCCUAUUGGCGUUCACGCAGUAAGGCUGGCAAUCCUACUAGACGCCAUCUGCAGAAGUCGUAUAGAAGAAGAUGAGGAGGAAACAACUCAACACUUCCUUCUUGACUGUCACGCGUUUGGGAGGUCAAGACUUUAACACGUGGCAUUCCUUUGGACAUCCCACCGAAUUGGCGGGAGUGGAAAUUAAACGCUUGUGCAAUUUUGUAUUGGCUACUAAGCGUUUUGCGAAUUUAUAGUUCGAACACAGGAGUUCUUCUUUUCUAUGACAUCACAAAAGACUACGUAUUGUAGUCUAUGUGCGAUCUUUGGAUCAGCCAUCUAAACUAACCUAACCUAGGAUGCCUGCAGAGUGCACGCUCAAAACCGAGCCCAGCGCAUUUUCCCAUUUACGCAACACGCGAAUUUACGCUCGGCUCGGCUUUGAGCAUUCACUUUGCGGACACACUUAGUAUUUGACCAGUUAAGGAGGGAGCCUGCUUUAGAGGCUUCAAAAAAUCUAUAUUUUCAAGGAUUUUUUUUGGAAAGGAAAGAAAUGUCUGAUUGAAAUAAAACUUUUAGGAUUUAUUCUUAUAUAUUUGAAGAGUCUUUUUUUUUUUUAUUAUACAUACAUUAGAUAUUCUUCAUGUUUGAAAAAAUUUACGGAGGCGCCUCGAGUGUGCAAUUUCUGUGUGGCGGGCAAGAUGCAGGACGCAAUUUUCAUCCGAAACAAAAAACAAAAGAAAUUUUUAAUUUUCAAUAGUGUAAUUCCUAGGUGAACCAAGAAAAUUCAACAAAAAGUGAAAAAUACAACAAUUUU
Bactrocera neohumeralis is the source of this 933-nucleotide long non-coding RNA. RefSeq lists it as uncharacterized. The record is from RefSeq and is a predicted model, not a curated record. Lineage: Eukaryota; Metazoa; Arthropoda; Insecta; Diptera; Tephritidae. The transcript is spliced from 2 exons.